AUCUGUACCCCUCAGUGGCAGAAUGUGACCUGGAAGCAAUUGGGAGAAACAGUUCUGGGAAAUGCAGACUUCUCCCCUGUGAUGCAAAGCAAAAUCUGGAGAGAGCGAGAGAUGACAUGGAAUUAACAACAGACAAUCUGGCAAAAUGAAGUCAAGCAGAUAAUUUUCUGAUGAAUUGGAUGUGUGGUGUAAGAAAAAGAGAGACGUCUAGGAUGACUUCUUAUUUGUUCUAAGCGACUGCAAAGAUGUGCUGGCAUCAAUGGAGGCGUGGAAAGCAGUGCAUGGAGAAGGGCAUUUUUCGACAUGUCAGGUCAACAAAAGGCAAAAGAAGAAGAUGGACACAAAUUCAAGGAGAGAGCCCUCAGAAGAAUCUAAACUUGCCAAUAUUUUCAUCCAUGACCUGUAGCAUUCAGAACUGUGAGAAAAAAAUUUCUGUUAAGCCACCCAGUCUGUGGUGAUUGUUAUGGCAGCCCCAGCAAAUGAAUACAGCAUCCUAUAACUAAGGUGAAGAACAAGGCGGAAGGAAAUGACUUUUGUAAUGUCAGAGACAGCAUUCCUUAGUGGCAUUCCUGAGUUGCUAAAGCAAAAUCAAGCCCAAGGCUUAUUCUGCUACUGAAAUUUACAUGAUGAAAGCAAAAUUGUCCCCCUUUUUGCUUUAUUGUUUCAAAUGUAACUUAAACAGUUGAACCAAAUACAUCACUGUGUCCUUGGUAUCUGCAACUAUGAUGACAUCAGUUCAGUUCAGUUCAGUUGCUCAGUCGUGUCCGACUCUUUGCGACCCCA
Molecule: long non-coding RNA, 783 nt
Organism: Cervus elaphus (red deer)
Lineage: Eukaryota; Metazoa; Chordata; Mammalia; Artiodactyla; Cervidae
Exons: 3
Source: RefSeq, a predicted model, not a curated record